RNAcentral lists this transfer-messenger RNA (254 nucleotides) under Bartonella sp. C1. RNAcentral describes it as "partial ssrA". It matches the Rfam family "Alphaproteobacteria transfer-messenger RNA", at positions 81 to 331 of the family's 355-position model. From Rfam's summary of the family: Bacterial tmRNA, also known as 10Sa RNA or SsrA, is named for its dual tRNA and mRNA-like properties. Its role is to liberate the mRNA from a stalled ribosome. To accomplish this part of the tmRNA is used as a reading frame that ends in a translation stop signal. Lineage: Bacteria; Pseudomonadati; Pseudomonadota; Alphaproteobacteria; Hyphomicrobiales; Bartonellaceae. The record is from RNAcentral.
ACCUAUUGGACCCGGGGGCGGUACCCGGCGCCUCCACCAAAAUAUGAUCCUCUGUUAAUCAUAUUUUGAUGGGGGCGAAAUAGGAUCGACAAGGGUGUAAAGAUCGCUCUUUUACUCGGCAUUGUACCACCGUUAUCGGGCUAAAUGAGUAGUUGCAAAUGACAACUAUGCGGAAGCACGUCUCGCCGCUUAAGGUGGUGUGAAUGCUUCAAAUUAAGCCUUAAACCGUCGCAGGUUUAAGCGGGGUUCGGAGG